Molecule: ribosomal RNA, 468 nt
Filed under: uncultured bacterium
Lineage: Bacteria
Description: partial 16S ribosomal RNA
Rfam family: Bacterial small subunit ribosomal RNA
Source: RNAcentral
GAUGAACGCUGGCGGCGUGCUUAACACAUGCAAGUCGAACGGAAAGGCCCAAGCUUGCUUGGGUACUCGAGUGGCGAACGGGUGAGUAACACGUGGGUGAUCUGCCCUGCACUUCGGGAUAAGCUUGGGAAACUGGGUCUAAUACCGGAUAGGACGAUUGUUUGGAUGCUAUUGUGGAAAGUUUUUUCGGUGUGGGAUGAGCUCGCGGCCUAUCAGCUUGUUGGUGGGGUCAUGGCCUAACAAGGCGUCGACGGGUGGCCGGCCUGAGAGGGUGUAGGGCGACAAUGGAAAUGAGGAACGGGACAGACUCCUACGGGAGGCAGGAGGGGGGAGUGUGGAACAAUGGGCGAGAGGCUGAUGCAGCGACGCCGCGUGGGGGGUGAGGGCCGUAGGGUUGUGAGCUCCUUUGGCUAGGGACGAAGCGUGUUUGUGACGGUACCUGGAGAAGAAGCACCGGCUAACUACGUG